UGGGGAAUACUGCACAAUGGGCGGAAGCCUGAUGCAGCAACGCCGCGUGCGGGAUGACGGCCUUCGGGUUGUAAACCGCUUUCGCCUGUGACGAAGCGUGAGUGACGGUAAUGGGUAAAGAAGCACCGGCUAACUACGUGCCAGCAGCCGCGGUGAUACGUAGGGUGCGAGCGUUGUCCGGAUUUAUUGGGCGUAAAGGGCUCGUAGGUGGUUGAUCGCGUCGGAAGUGUAAUCUUGGGGCUUAACCCUGAGCGUGCUUUCGAUACGGGUUGACUUGAGGAAGGUAGGGGAGAAUGGAAUUCCUGGUGGAGCGGUGGAAUGCGCAGAUAUCAGGAGGAACACCAGUGGCGAAGGCGGUUCUCUGGGCCUUUCCUGACGCUGAGGAGCGAAAGCGUGGGGAGCGAACAGGCUUAGAUACCCUGGUAGUCCACGCUGUAAACGGUGGGUACUAGGUGUGGGGUCCAUUCCACGGGUUCCGCGCCGUAGCUAACGCUUUAAGUACCCCGCCUGGGGAGUACGGCCGCAAGGCAAAACUUAAAUGAAUUGACGGGGUCAUAGCUGUUUCCU
Molecule: ribosomal RNA, 567 nt
Filed under: uncultured bacterium
Lineage: Bacteria
Description: partial 16S ribosomal RNA
Rfam family: Bacterial small subunit ribosomal RNA
Source: RNAcentral